AUGAACUAUCAGGCAGCCCCGUGGGGCGACGACAGCGCCGGCUAUCGUGCGUACGACGAUCUAUGGGACCGGUGUAGGCCCCUUUGCGGUUCGACUAUGGGGAUCCACACACACAAAGAGGAGAAUCAACAGACAACACAAAGCGUUUACCCAGGUUUGGGCCACUGUGAGGUGGAAAACCCUACUCGUGUGUUUGAGCUCAAGUACAAGGAGCGCAGCUUGCCGGCAAGGUGUGCGGGAAGUGCAGCUACGUGUGUAAAUGAGCAAAGUGGCGACCUUUGUAAAGGUAGCCACGGGCCUCCUUUUAUAGAUGAAGGGUCUCCACAAUGGCAAAAUAGUUAUUAUAUAAGGUAA
Molecule: ribosomal RNA, 354 nt
Filed under: Triticum aestivum (bread wheat)
Lineage: Eukaryota; Viridiplantae; Streptophyta; Magnoliopsida; Poales; Poaceae
Description: partial small subunit ribosomal RNA
Source: RNAcentral